GAUGAACGCUGGCGGCGUGCCUAAUACAUGCAAGUCGAGCGAACGGACGAGAAGCUUGCUUCUCUGAUGUUAGCGGCGGACGGGUGAGUAACACGUGGAUAACCUACCUAUAAGACUGGGAUAACUUCGGGAAACCGGAGCUAAUACCGGAUAAUAUUUUGAACCGCAUGGUUCAAAAGUGAAAGACGGUCUUGCUGUCACUUAUAGAUGGAUCCGCGCUGCAUUAGCUAGUUGGUAAGGUAACGGCUUACCAAGGCAACGAUGCAUAGCCGACCUGAGAGGGUGAUCGGCCACACUGGAACUGAGGCACGGUCCAGACACCUACGGGAGGCAGCAGUAGGGAAUCUUCCGCAAUGGGCGAAAGCCUGACGGAGCAACGCCGCGUGAGUGAUGAAGGUCUUCGGAUCGUAAAACUCUGUUAUUAGGGAAGAACAUAUGUGUAAGUAACUGUGCACAUCUUGACGGUACCUAAUCAGAAAGCCACGGCUAACUACGUG
This 497-nucleotide ribosomal RNA is filed under the name uncultured bacterium. RNAcentral's name for it is "partial 16S ribosomal RNA". It matches the Rfam family "Bacterial small subunit ribosomal RNA", at positions 28 to 507 of the family's 1533-position model. The record is from RNAcentral.